GUCCCUAUCGUCUAGAGGCCUAGGACAUCGCCCUUUCACUGCGGUAACCGGGGUUCGAAUCCCCGUAGGGACGCCA
This 76-nucleotide transfer RNA is filed under the name Acinetobacter baumannii 959073. Its description in RNAcentral is "tRNA-Glu". It matches the Rfam family "tRNA". From Rfam's summary of the family: Transfer RNA (tRNA) molecules are approximately 80 nucleotides in length. Their secondary structure includes four short double-helical elements and three loops (D, anti-codon, and T loops). RNAcentral also lists the same sequence under 1 other name. The record is from RNAcentral. Lineage: Bacteria; Pseudomonadati; Pseudomonadota; Gammaproteobacteria; Moraxellales; Moraxellaceae.